GAAAGAAGCACUGAGCAUGCUCCGUGCAUGCGCAUGCCAACCCAGCCAUCCCCUGGGGGGACCGAGAUCAUUCUCCAGUGUGGUUACCUCUGUGGAAGGGCUUGGCGUUACAUCAGCCUUGUGGUGCCAUUAACCCGUUUCUAUCAUGGUCUAAAUGUGUUGCAGUGGAUAUGCAACAGGUGGUGUAGUGGUUAAAGCACCGCCUUACAGCCCAAGGACCCUCGUUUGAAUCCCACCUCCUGGUGUACUGUCCUUGAUCCAGGUAAUUACCCUGAACUGAUGCAGUGAAAUUACCCUGCUAUAUACUGUAAAAGGGUGGAUCAGUGUAAGCUGCUUUGGUGAAAAGUGUCAGUGUAAUAAAUAAAUGUGAGUGUGUGUCAGGAAGUGUGUGUGACGCGAGAUCAGUGCAACGUGAGGCAACCGCAAGCUGAGCGCAUUCCUGAACGGCCUGCGCUUUACAGUCCCGUGCGCCUGUCCUGUUGUCUUGGACCUCAUGUGGCCCGCUUGGUUGACGGAGCCCUGAGGGACUGGACUCCCUCGCAGUGACCCAGUGCAGACGAGCGAUUUGACGUCCGAAACCUCGCUGGCGACGAGCCGUUGCGCAGGCGCACGUGGGCGUUAGCGGAGCCGCUCUGGUGGUCUCGUGCGCUGGUCUGCGAGCACAGAAAAGCUCGGCAAAGAUUGCAGAUUCCUGUAUUCUUCUUCCAGGGAUUACCACAAUGCCCUCUCCCCGUACCCUCUGGGGAAGGCGAAUGAAGUAAAAUGGGAUACCCUGUACCUCAUGCUGCUCCAUCCCUCGUGGUCCCCAGUCUUGUUCUCCAUGGUUCUGCCAAAGAUUUAAAGGCAGCAGAAAGGCGAACGGCUUUGGAAGCAUUAGGACACACGUUUUGGUUCUUUAAAAAAAAAAAAAAAGUAGACGAAGAAGGGGAGAACUACAAAGAGAAGCUGCGGCUGGAUGUCCCUCGUGAAAAGGGUGAAAAAAUAUCACAGCCACAGGAUGUGAGCCAGAGCGCUGGGCCCGCACGGUCGGAAGAGCCCGCAGCGACGAGCAGGCGGCAGCAGCCCUCUGAUAAAAAGGAGACCUCCAGGACAGACAGGAUGUCCCUCCACGCUGUAUAUGGACAUGAGAUUGAAACCUCAGUGCUGGGUUCAGCGUCCUUAGGCCUCCCCCAGAGCCCUGGUCAAGUUCCAUCCAGCUGGGGACUUCUGUCACUGCCCGCAGAACCAGAUUUUAGCCUUAGAGCAAAAUUAGUCAGCGGCUGCAGCUGGUUUCCUCAACAGCCAGUGUGUGUAUCUGCUGUGUUUGCUGAAUAAAACUAUGAAGAUAUGUGUUGACCACAUUGUAAGUGAAUUAUUAAAUUCAAAUUGUGGCCCAAGCAUAACUUCAUAAUUAGAAUUUUUGUCGCACCCUGUGCUUCCGAUCCUGCAUUAGACAGGCAGUGAAUGAGGAUGGACGGACAGAUUGAAGAAUGAAUUAAUGAAUAAUGAUAAAGUGAAGAACUAUUAUGUAACAGGUGGCACAGCGAGGAGCGCUGCUGUCUCAUAGUGCCUGCGUGGUGUGAGAGGACGUGAGUUCAAUUCCUG
This is a long non-coding RNA of Scleropages formosus (Asian bonytongue), 1584 nucleotides long. NCBI's taxonomy places the organism in Eukaryota, Metazoa, Chordata, Actinopteri, Osteoglossiformes, Osteoglossidae. The record is from Ensembl.